ACAUAAGACACGAGUGCGGGGCCCCGGGUGCCACAGCCAGGAGCUCCCGGGCGGUUCUCGGCUCCUUGAUGAAAGGCUGCUUUGGACCAAAGGUGACGCACUGCUCUGCUCACCCCUCGUCUGUGACCCUGGGGCAGGAAGACUAAUGUGCCAGAUCAAACCAGGAGCAGAGGGAAAAUCUUCAAGCUAAGCCUGUGUGAGGGGUUUCUUAAAGGCAGAAUUUAUAGUUGCCUUUAAAAAACUCACUGGCAGCCUCUAGCGGGACUAGAUAUUCAUUGUUUAAGACCCAUGGGUUAUAUUUGCCAUGCAUCCAAUGACUCUGUUUUACUGCCUAGGCAUUCUCUUUGGCACGAUCUUCUUUCUUUUACCCAUCAUCGUGGCCGGUUGGAUAACUGUAAAGCACAAACAAGGCAAAACUACAGAUGAAAAAUGUAAGGAGAGUAUCCAUUUACAUCCUCAAGAAGACAGCGGUGUAAGUCCUCAAACUGUGCAAACAAAUCAGGAGAACAGCAGUGUCCUUCCUUGACAAAGUAUAUAAAGCUGGAGAAGACCUCGAAGUAAAACGUUGGUCGGGAAGCGAUUCAUUUCAACAGAAUAAGAUAUGAAACGCAUAAAAUCCCAACUGGAAGUGACCUCACAGACAUGCAAGCAUGUGCACUUGAAGAUGCCGAAGUGCCCCCAGAAUCUAGGAAAAGCUCCCUCCUCUUAGUUUGGAUUACUGUCACCCCUUCACCCUCUGUCCUUGUGCUCAAAGCACACACCAUCCAUUUAGGGGAAAAGACUGCCCUUGGGCUAUAUAAAUAGCCUCACUUACUUAAAGGACAAAGGUGUUGCCUAAGAUCUUGGUUUACCAGUUUGUUAUUUUCCUUUCUUAUUUUCAAAUGUCCAUACUAUGGAAUGGGCUCAUUAAUGAGAAUCUGAAAAUCCAGAGGGACAAUGUGAAAAACAAAUAAGUCACAUAGAAUUAUACUACUCUGUGAUAACCACUGGUAAUAUUUCGAUUCAUUUUCUGCUAACCUUUCUUCAUGUAUGUUUCUUUAUACACAAGUCUUACUUAAAUAGUUAGUUUUUCUUUUAUAGAGCAAAACCUCCUCCUAUUAGAUCCGAGUAAAAUAUAGCUAUAUCAGUUUUUACUUCCUUAGAAAAGAAUAUUUUCUGUUUAUUUUAAAAAAAAAAACAUUAAAUGAUUCUGGAGAAGAGGUUUUCAAGAGAAAUAUCUGAAACAAUGAGCUUUGGAUAUUACCUAAGUUCUAUUUCAAAAGCACUUUUACUCUAUUCUUUACAAAAACAUAACUAUUUUAAAUAAAAGAAUAAUUUUAUUAUAAAAGCAACUGGCUUACUUUUGUAUGGAUUCAGAAUACACUAAAUAAACUAAGAAACUAUGACUUUUAAGAAGUUAAAAAAUUGGGGCUCCUGGGUGGCUCAGUCGGUUUGAGCGUCCGACUUCGGCUCAGGUCAUGAUCUCACAGUUC
This is a long non-coding RNA of Panthera uncia (snow leopard), 1472 nucleotides long. RefSeq lists it as uncharacterized. Lineage: Eukaryota; Metazoa; Chordata; Mammalia; Carnivora; Felidae. The transcript is spliced from 3 exons. The record is from RefSeq and is a predicted model, not a curated record.